CGAGAUUCCCCCAGUAGCGGCGAGCGAACGGGGAGCAGCCCAGAGCCUGAAUCAGUGUGUGUGUUAGUGGAAGCGUCUGGAAAGGCGUGCGAUACAGGGUGACAGCCCCGUACACAAAAAUGCACAUACUGUGAGCUCGAUGAGUAGGGCGGGACACGUGGUAUCCUGUCUGAAUAUGGGGGGACCAUCCUCCAAGGCUAAAUACUCCUGACUGACCGAUAGUGAACCAGUACCGUGAGGGAAAGGCGAAAAGAA
Molecule: ribosomal RNA, 255 nt
Filed under: Escherichia coli
Lineage: Bacteria; Pseudomonadati; Pseudomonadota; Gammaproteobacteria; Enterobacterales; Enterobacteriaceae
Description: partial 23S ribosomal RNA
Rfam family: Bacterial large subunit ribosomal RNA
Source: RNAcentral